RNAcentral lists this ribosomal RNA (260 nucleotides) under uncultured Piloderma. RNAcentral describes it as "partial 28S ribosomal RNA". It matches the Rfam family "Eukaryotic large subunit ribosomal RNA", at positions 1 to 251 of the family's 3401-position model. The record is from RNAcentral. Lineage: Eukaryota; Fungi; Basidiomycota; Agaricomycetes; Atheliales; Atheliaceae.
UUGACCUCAAAUCAGGUAGGACUACCCGCUGAACUUAAGCAUAUCAAUAAGCGGAGGAAAAGAAACUAACAAGGAUUCCCCUAGUAACUGCGAGUGAAGCGGGAAAAGCUCAAAUUUAAAAUCUGGCGGUCUUGCGGCCGUCCGAGUUGUAAUCUGGAGAAGCGUCUAUCCGUGUCGGACCGUGUACAAGUCUUCUGGAAGGGAGCGUCAUAGAGGGUGAGAAUCCCGUCUUUGACACGGACUACCGAUGCUUUUGGGAU